RNAcentral lists this ribosomal RNA (468 nucleotides) under uncultured bacterium. RNAcentral describes it as "partial 16S ribosomal RNA". It matches the Rfam family "Bacterial small subunit ribosomal RNA", at positions 28 to 507 of the family's 1533-position model. The record is from RNAcentral.
GACGAACGCUGGCGGCGUGCUUAACACAUGCAAGUCGAACGGAAAGGCCCUGCUUUUGUGGGGUGCUCGAGUGGCGAACGGGGGUGUAAAACGUGAGUAACCCGUCCCUGACUUUGGGAUAACUUCAGGAAACUGGGGCUAAUAUAGGAUAGGAGAUCCUGAAGCAUGGUGGGGGUUGGAAAGUUUCGGCGGUUGGGGAUGGACUCGCGGCUUAUCAGCUUGUUGGUGGGGUAGGGGAUUACCAAGGCUUUGACGGGUAGCCGGCCUGGGAGGGUAGCCGGCCACAUUGGGACUGCGAUACGCCCCAGACUCCUACGGGAGGCAGCAGUGGGGAGUAUUGCACAAUGGGCGGAAGCCUGAUGCAGCAACGCCGCGUGCGGGAUGACGGCCUUCGGGUUGUAAACCGCUUUCGCCUGUGACGAAGCGUGAGUGACGGUAAUGGGUAAAGAAGCACCGGCUAACUACGUG